UCCUCAGAAUAGAUUGAGGCCACUCAGCUC
RNAcentral lists this non-coding RNA (30 nucleotides) under Mus musculus (house mouse). Lineage: Eukaryota; Metazoa; Chordata; Mammalia; Rodentia; Muridae. The record is from RNAcentral.